This 25-nucleotide unclassified non-coding RNA is filed under the name Mus musculus (house mouse). RNAcentral's name for it is "oocyte_clustered_small_RNA1224". The record is from RNAcentral. Lineage: Eukaryota; Metazoa; Chordata; Mammalia; Rodentia; Muridae.
UCCCACCUACUCCCCUACCCACCCA